Molecule: ribosomal RNA, 465 nt
Filed under: uncultured bacterium
Lineage: Bacteria
Description: partial 16S ribosomal RNA
Rfam family: Bacterial small subunit ribosomal RNA
Source: RNAcentral
CUACGGGAGGCUGCAGUGAGGAAUUUUGCGCAAUGGGGGAAACCCUGACGCAGCAACGCCGCGUGAGCGAAGAAGGCCCUCGGGUCGUAAAGCUCUGUCAAGUGGGAAAAAAAUUUUUUGAUCAAUAGUCAAAAGGCUUGAUGGUACCACUGGAGGAAGCACCGGCUAACUCCGUGCCAGCAGCCGCGGUAAUACGGAGGGUGCGAGCGUUGGUUCGGAUUUACUGGGCGUAAAGAGCGUGUAGGCGGUUUAGCAAGUCAGAUGUGAAAGCCCUGGGCUCAACCCGGGAAGUGCAUUUGAAACUGCUUCACUAGAGUAUGGGAGAGGAGAUUGGAAUUCCUGGUGUAGAGGUGAAAUUCGUAGAUAUCAGGAGGAACACCCGUGGCGAAGGCAAUUCUCUGGACCAAUACUGACGCUGAGACGCGAAAGCGUGGGGAGCAAACAGGAUUAGAUACCCUCGUAGUC